This 272-nucleotide ribosomal RNA is filed under the name uncultured prokaryote. Its description in RNAcentral is "partial 16S ribosomal RNA". It matches the Rfam family "Bacterial small subunit ribosomal RNA", at positions 505 to 776 of the family's 1533-position model. The record is from RNAcentral.
GUGCCAGCAGCCGCGGUAAUACAGAGGGUGCGAGCGUUAAUCGGAUUUACUGGGCGUAAAGCGUGCGUAGGCGGCUUAUUAAGUCGGAUGUGAAAUCCCCGAGCUUAACUUGGGAAUUGCAUUCGAUACUGGUGAGCUAGAGUAUGGGAGAGGAUGGUAGAAUUCCAGGUGUAGCGGUGAAAUGCGUAGAGAUCUGGAGGAAUACCGAUGGCGAAGGCAGCCAUCUGGCCCAAUACUGACGCUGAGGUACGAAAGCAUGGGGAGCAAACAGG